Molecule: long non-coding RNA, 550 nt
Organism: Gasterosteus aculeatus aculeatus (three-spined stickleback)
Lineage: Eukaryota; Metazoa; Chordata; Actinopteri; Perciformes; Gasterosteidae
Source: Ensembl
GUUGUCUGUUAGCUGCGUGUGAAUUUAUGGGGGAAAGUAUUGUGACUUCGUCAACCACCAACAUGUUCGUCUCGUCUCGUUAACGAAAGUUAGAAUAGAUUUAGUCAUAGUUUUUAUUUGUUAAGAUCGUUUUUGUCACGUUUUAGUCAGAAAAGAGGGCGUUAACAAAACAUUUUCGUCGACGAAAUUAACACUGCUGCAUUGUUCAUACAUUAUUACCUUGCACAUUUUCUACUACCCUACAUGCCUUAGCUUUUAUUCGUUAAGCAGUUUCCUUUUCUAUUUUGCAACAUGCCCCAAAAUGAAUAGGAUUGCAGUAUUUCAGUGAAAGUGUCUUGAAGUCACCACCCUAAUUUAGGCAUUAGUAACAUUCAUGCUCCAGAAAAAUUAUUUUAAAUUCAUGCACAUUUACAUGUUACUGUCUCCUUUUACAGCAAUGGGAGGAGCAUUUUCUAGUGAGCCAUGGAGGGAAGUGACAAAAGGUUACCAGGACAAUCUGGAUUUUGUGAAAUCUAUACAAACCUCGAAAGCCACAAGUCAAACGUCUCAG